Long non-coding RNA from Benincasa hispida (wax gourd), 669 nucleotides. RefSeq lists it as uncharacterized. NCBI's taxonomy places the organism in Eukaryota, Viridiplantae, Streptophyta, Magnoliopsida, Cucurbitales, Cucurbitaceae. The record is from RefSeq and is a predicted model, not a curated record.
UUCAAACCCCCACUUUCUCACUUUCUCUCUAGUUUAGACGAACUUCGGUUGCUGCAUCGCCGAUGUCCACAUCCUUGCUCCGUCAAGUUGCAACCGCGCCGCUCCAGCCUUCACGUCAUCGGAUCUGCUCGUCGUUGGUCCUCCUCUGUUCCAGUCGUUGUCCUCUGUCGAACGUCAUCGUGAGAUACGUAGUUUUGGGAUAAGAUCUAAAUGAUUUUCAUGGUUUUGUUGAGGAUCUUAAAUACCCAAUAAAUAACGUGUUUAAUUAUCAUUUCAAUCGUGAUUUUGGAGGUUGAAUUUGAAAGUUUGAAGGAGUUUAAAAGGUCGUUAGCGUGUUGUCAAGCAGAGUUAAGGUGAUUUCGGCAAGAAUUUUGGAUUUAAUUCAAAGAUUGUGGAGAUUAGAAGGGGUUAGUUGCUCAAAUAUUUGGCUCGAUUAAGGAUUCAAGAAUUUCACAAAGAUUCAAUUGCUUUUUUGUUCAACAUAAUAUCAAAGUAAAGGCAAGGACGCACUGGCGAAUGACAAGAGAAAUCCUUAAACGAGCCACUCAGGACCAGUUUUAUGCUUUUGCACAUGAUAUUUAGAUUUCUUUCCAUGCUUUUCAACUUUCAAUUUGAUGUUUAAAACUUACUAUUAAGAUAUGUUUUUAGACCUAUUUAUUAUCAUUUAUG